This 277-nucleotide unclassified non-coding RNA is filed under the name sea anemone metagenome. RNAcentral's name for it is "partial contains small subunit ribosomal RNA and internal transcribed spacer 1". The stretch from base 1 to 153 matches the Rfam family "Eukaryotic small subunit ribosomal RNA", at positions 1678 to 1831 of the family's 1831-position model. The record is from RNAcentral.
GCACCUACCGAUUGAAUGGUUCGGUGAAAAUCUCGGACUGCGGCUUGGAUGCCUUCGGGCAACCAAGCUGUGAAAGUUGUUUAAACCUCAUCAUUUAGAGGAAGGUGAAGUCGUAACAAGGUUUCUGUAGGUGAACCUGCAGAAGGAUCAAGGUCGGGAGGGCACACGUCUGAACUCCCGUCACAUGUCCUUAUAUCGUAUACCCUCUCCUGCGUUAAAAAAAAAACAAACACUAUGUUACAGCCCCCUACCACUCCAUAGUGCACGCAUAAUUUUU